GACGAACGCUGGCGGCGUGCUUAACACAUGCGAGUCGAACGGAAAGGCCCUGCUUUUGUGGGGUGCUCGAGUGGCGAACGGGUGAGUAACACGUGAGUAACCUGCCCUUGACUUUGGGAUAACUUCAGGAAACUGGGGCUAAUACCGGAUAGGAGCUCCUGCUGCAUGGUGGGGGUUGGAAAGUUUCGGCGGUUGGGGAUGGACUCGCGGCUUAUCAGCUUGUUGGUGGGGUAGUGGCUUACCAAGGCUUUGACGGGUAGCCGGCCUGAGAGGGUGACCGUCCACAUUGGGACUGAGAUACGGCCCAGACUCCUACGGGAGGCAGCAGUGGGGAAUAUUGCACAAUGGGCGGAAGCCUGAUGCAGCAACGCCGCGUGCGGGAUGACGGCCUUCGGGUUGUAAACCGCUUUCGCCUGUGACGAAGCGUGAGUGACGGUAAUGGGUAAAGAAGCACCGGCUAACUACGUG
Molecule: ribosomal RNA, 468 nt
Filed under: uncultured bacterium
Lineage: Bacteria
Description: partial 16S ribosomal RNA
Rfam family: Bacterial small subunit ribosomal RNA
Source: RNAcentral